Molecule: non-coding RNA, 2474 nt
Organism: Phoenix dactylifera (date palm)
Lineage: Eukaryota; Viridiplantae; Streptophyta; Magnoliopsida; Arecales; Arecaceae
Source: RefSeq, a predicted model, not a curated record
CUCCUUUCCUUCCCUCCUUUGUUGUAGUUCUCAAGUUUUUGGAAUUCUGGUUGGCUUCUUGGUAAGAAUGUCUUGUAAGUUCUUGAUUGGAAUACACGAAAUCUUGAUUGCAUUCUUGGUGACAAUAUCUUGAAAUUUUAUAUUUUCAAGUCAGCAUUCUUGACCUAGAGUCAUUCCUGGAAUUAGGUGUGGAAAAGCUUCCCUUAGAAAGAAGAUGUUAGCUUAAGUAACUGUGGAUGAAGUGUUCCAGAAAUUAUAAACUAUGUCGGUGGAUUAAUUAUCCGAAACUUCUUUCUAGAUUAUGGGUUUGGCUCUGGGAUCUUGAUCAAAUUCUUGCCCUGUUUCAAUAUUCUUGCGAGCACUGUUAUUGGGUGUUCUAAACCUAUGGGAUGACAAUAAAUGAGUUUCGGAUAGGUUUGAUUCAGAAAUAUAUAAGCACUGUCUGUAUCUGUGCCAAUGACCAAUCUGAUAUGGGUUGACAGAGGCCAAGAUUGUGACUCCGAAACAUGGAGGCUCUACACAGAGCUACUGGUACCGUGUUUAUGAUAUAUAGUCUCCUUGGGUAUUAACUGGUACUUUGAAGUAGAGUGGUCAUAUGUUGUAUCAGUUUGUUCUGGUUUGUGUCUAAUACCCAUAAUAGUAAUAAUAAAAACAAAAAUAUUAGCAAUAACAAUAACCUAUAAGCUCAUACUUAUAACUUGUUAGCAAACUGUUGGAGCGAAAGGAUCAUAUGAAAACCAUGAGAAAGUUGACUGAGCAAUGAUCUAUAAGCAUCAUUCAGACUACCAACCAAUACGUAAUGAACUUCACCAAUUUUUGGGUAAAUCAUGCAUUAGCUAUGUGAUUUAGAAUACCAACUAUUAAAAGAGGAUUUAGUUUUGAGAUUCUAAUGUCAAUGUGUUCAACUUUAAGCUGUUGCUUUUACCAAGUUGUUUUGAGGUUGAAACUCUAAAUUUUAACAAACUGCCAUUUUGUUUGUUCUUAAAUAUUAAAAGAGUGAUAAGUCUUUUUUUUCUCCUGGUUGCCUAUUGGCAAAUGAGUAAGGAUUAUCCAUAAGAUAUUUGCAUUUGAAUACAAACUCAUCUUCAGGUGGUGUUAUUCUUUUAAUAUAACAUCAUAGUUGGGUUUUGCAUAAAAGAUGUGUUUUUCUAUGAUCAAUUUUUUUGGAGUAAUAUAGUUGUUAAAUCAAAAGUAUCCAAGAAUUUUAUUUUCUAAAGUGGUGCUUCUUAACAUUUAUGAGAAUUUUGAUGCAUUAUCUAUUAAAAUGAUACUAUGUUGUGUUCCCCUUACAAUGUUUUUGUUACUUUGAUGGAGAACAUGGAAAAGAGUGAAGUUGGCUUCUACUUUGGACCACAUUGGUUCACCAGUUGUGGCUGGAGAAGAUGAAAGGAUUGCAGAAUGCUGGAAAGGAUUUGGAGCAGAUGUGAUACUGACAUCCAGAUCUUGCCAAAAUGGAACUGAAUGCUGUUAUGAAGCUCUCUAAAAGCUCAAAAGAAACUAUGACAUUGUUGUGAACACUCAAGGAGAUGAUUCCCUUGUUGAGCCACAGAUAAUAGACAGUGUGGUACAAGCUUUGCAGGGGUAGUUAUAGUAUUUACUAAUUAAUUGCUUGCAGAAUUCAGCUUUUUCUACUGUUUGGUUCAACAAACAAUGUGGUUACUCUAUGUGACUAUGCAGUCUUGUGCUUAUUUAAUUACAAUACGAACUGUAGAGAGCUGCUGAUGCAGUGUUCGUCCUGCUGUCACAUCUUUAAAAGCUGAAGAUGGACCAGACCCCAACCUGGUGAAGUAUAUCAUGGACACAUGGUUAUGCGAUUUAUUUCUCUAGAGGAUUGGUUCCUUAUAUCAAGUGAGUUGUGGUACAUGCCAGUUUGUAGAAUUGUAAAGUUGGUUUAUCCUAAUCCAUGAAUCGAUAUUUUCUAACAUGCUCAUAUAUUAUAUAGGUCAGGGCAAGUUAAUUCACAGUUUCCAUAUCUACAUCUGGGCAUUCAGAUUUGUGACUUACUGCUCUCUUGGGUUUGGUGUUAUGUAAUGUCUUGUCAUAGCCUUUUUAGGAUGGUAUUCUGGCUGUAUUCUAGGAUAUCUUUUUAAUGUAUGUACUGGUGUUCUUGUUUCUAACCAGAUUAUGAUUCAAAGUUUCUUAGGAUAUAUCCGCAACUUGCAUCCUCUCCAUUGCAACUAGAAGACCUAGAGCAACUGAUAGUUCUUGCGCAUGGAUACAAGAUGAAGGUAAUUUCAAACUAUUUAUGACUCAUUGGAACCAUAUAGAACAAAUGACAUCCGUCAGUGCUUAUUUUUCAGACCUCUUUUUGUAAUCUUGACCUGUGAGCAUUUCCAUCUACUUAUCAGCUUGUAUUUGCUAUGAAAAUUCGAGAUUUCAACUUAUUUGUGUUACAAUGUAAACUUUUUUGGAUUAUUCCAAGCCUCACAAAGUGCUUGAAUUAAACAGGUUUGAGCAAGGACUUUUCCACCUUA